UCUUGAUGAUGCGACUGUUAGUUCGCAGAGAGAGGUCGUCCAUUUCUAACCAGCUUGGUUGGACUGGUUGGGGGGCAACGAUGGGAGAUCUGUGUUCGGUGUUGAAGAUUUGUUUGAGGCCGUCGAUUUGCGUCUGAGGCGGCGUGCUGUGAAUCAGACCGUUCUUUGGGUCUUCAUCUCAUCGGUUUUCCUUUAAACAGUUAUGUCUGUGUGCUUCGUCUCUUUAUCUCAUAUUUAUUUCCCUAUUGAGCGAGAAAAUGAUUGGCUUGAAAACUGCAAGAGAAAUUUUGCUGAAAUUUACUUUGUUGGUUGAGUGGAGUUACGGUAGUUCAACCCUUGGUUGGUGUGCCGAUCAACGCCAAGCAAGUAAAAUCCAUAAGAGGGGUGGUAUUUUGCUGCUUUAGAUAGAGCUGUUUGGUGGUUGUUUUUGGUUAAGUUAAGCAAGAGGUGAGUUUCUAGGCUGAAAUUCCAAUUCAUUGUUUUCCGUUAUGUGAAUAGAGAACAGUAAUAGUGGAAUCAAUUAACAAUUGGUUGGGAUUAGAUUGAACUAAUUGAUGUGGUUGUACGGCUGUAAAUAAAGACAAGUAAUUCUCAUGUGGUUUGAACCAAUGACAAGCUAUUUGAUGUAUGGUUUGUGCUUAGAUGCAUAUUAAUAUUUUUGACUUUUUUCUUUUAGUUCAUGGAAUAUAUGUAUUUGGAGGGGUUGUUAAUAAGAGUGUGAAAACAAGAAAAUUCUGCGACAAAUGAGACAAGAACAUGUGUACAAAGUAAUAUUUGUAUUAAUGAAAUUUAGGGUUACAAUCUCUGUAUGAAA
Molecule: long non-coding RNA, 814 nt
Organism: Prunus persica (peach)
Lineage: Eukaryota; Viridiplantae; Streptophyta; Magnoliopsida; Rosales; Rosaceae
Exons: 2
Source: RefSeq, a predicted model, not a curated record